CUGCCAUGAUGGCAAUAUUUUUCGUCAACAGCAUCUCACAGUGUGAAUGGUGACGACUCUGGGCUGAGCAG
Molecule: small nucleolar RNA, 71 nt
Organism: Columba livia (rock pigeon)
Lineage: Eukaryota; Metazoa; Chordata; Aves; Columbiformes; Columbidae
Product: small nucleolar RNA SNORD56
Exons: 1
Source: RefSeq, a predicted model, not a curated record